UACGGAGGAUCCAAGCGUUAUCCGGAAUCAUUGGAUUUAAAGGGUCCGUAGGCGGGCCUGUAAGUCAGUGGUGAAAUCCGGCGGCCUUAACCGUCGAACUGCCAUUGAUACUGCAGGCCUUGAAUUAUUGGGAAGUAACUAGAAUAUGUAGUGUAGCGGUGAAAUGCUUAGAUAUUACAUGGAAUACCGAUUGCGAAGGCAGGUUACUAUCAAUACAUUGACGCUGAUGGACGAAAGCGUGGGGAGCGAACAGG
This 254-nucleotide ribosomal RNA is filed under the name uncultured bacterium. RNAcentral describes it as "partial 16S ribosomal RNA". It matches the Rfam family "Bacterial small subunit ribosomal RNA", at positions 524 to 776 of the family's 1533-position model. The record is from RNAcentral.